AAUGGGUCAGCGACUUAUAUUCUGUAGCAAGGUUAACCGAAUAGGGGAGCCGAAGGGAAACCGAGUCUUAACUGGGCGUUAAGUUGCAGGGUAUAGACCCGAAACCCGGUGAUCUAGCCAUGGGCAGGUUGAAGGUUGGGUAACACUAACUGGAGGACCGAACCGACUAAUGUUGAAAAAUUAGCGGAUGACUUGUGGCUGGGGGUGAAAGGCCAAUCAAACCGGGAGAUAGCUGGUUCUCCCCGAAAGCUAUUUAGGUAGCGCCUCGUGAAUUCAUCUCCGGGGGUAGAGCACUGUUUCGGCAAGGGGGUCAUCCCGACUUACCAACCCGAUGCAAACUGCGAAUACCGGAGAAUGUUAUCACGGGAGAC
This 371-nucleotide ribosomal RNA is filed under the name Escherichia coli. RNAcentral's name for it is "partial 23S ribosomal RNA". It matches the Rfam family "Bacterial large subunit ribosomal RNA", at positions 614 to 985 of the family's 2925-position model. The record is from RNAcentral. Lineage: Bacteria; Pseudomonadati; Pseudomonadota; Gammaproteobacteria; Enterobacterales; Enterobacteriaceae.